AGCUUUGUGCAUUGGCAGUAUAGUAGCCAAUGAGGUUUAUUUGAGGUAUGAUUAUUGCUCAUAAAAAUUUUACAAAGGCAAAAAUAGGGUGAGGGUGCUGGGCACAGUGUCUCACACCAGCAAUCCCAAUGCUUAAAAGAAGCCAAGGC
Molecule: small nuclear RNA, 149 nt
Organism: Homo sapiens (human)
Lineage: Eukaryota; Metazoa; Chordata; Mammalia; Primates; Hominidae
Source: Ensembl